This is a long non-coding RNA of Orcinus orca (killer whale), 3160 nucleotides long. RefSeq lists it as uncharacterized. The record is from RefSeq and is a predicted model, not a curated record. NCBI's taxonomy places the organism in Eukaryota, Metazoa, Chordata, Mammalia, Artiodactyla, Delphinidae. The transcript is spliced from 3 exons.
CUCCUGGCAGCCCCACAGUCUGGGGCAGGUGGCAGGACUGCGGGGUGACCCUCUUUCCUCUGCCCCUCUCUGGCCCAGCAGCCAGCUUGCUCCAGGAUUUCCCCCAGAAACUUGAAUCUUCUUCCCUCCAUUAUGUAGAGCAGCUCAGGAAAAACUUGCAGACAUGAGCGCAAGUGGGCGCAGGCUUUCUUCGAGGCACGGCUCGCCUGGGGAAACGCCUGAUUCAGAGGCCGCCUCCACCGAACAGGGUCCUGCCUCCACCUCCACCUGACGGGAGAAGCAGCAGCCGCGUCAAACGAGAGCCGCCCGGGGGCCGGGGAGCUGCGCCGAGAGGGAGACGACGCUGUGCGAAGUCUAGAGGUGGUCUGUCUACAACUCCACAGUGCCAGGGACUCAUAUGCCUUGAAUUUGUUUCUCUGCUCUGUGUGGCUUUCAUUCCCAAGUUUACAUCUUGGUCCAAGAUGGCUCUGAAGCUCCAGAUGUUAUCAUCGCAAUCCAGGUAACAAGAAGGUGGAAGACAGGUAUGCAUGGGUAUUUGGGAAGCAAAAUGGAUGAACUGUGUCAAAGAAUGCACUUUUCCUCUCAAUAUCCAUUUCUCCCCUUUUCAAUAACAGAAUCUCAAUUUUCAUUCUAGUUAAUUGCCAUCCACAAUAAAUACUAUAUUCCCCGGCCUACCCUGCAGCUAAGUGUGGCCAUAGAAUCAAGCUUUACACAAUAAGAUAUAAGCAGAAGUACUGUAUGGAAUUUCUGGCAAGUUCCUCCUCUUUAAAGGGAACACAGAUAUGAUGGCUGGAGCUCUAGCAGCCAUCUUAGAUCAUAAAAGACAAAAGCUACAUUCUAAGAAUGACAGACUAAUGAACUAGAAGAAACCUGAAUAUCUGAAAACCUCAUGCAGGAACUGCACCAGCCAUGGACUGCCAACUCUGAACAUCUUUUAUGUAAGAGAGCAAUAAAUUUUAUCUUUUCCAUGCCCUGUUAUAUUUCUGUCUCCCAUGAAGCUGAAUCUAGUACAGUACUGAAGAAAUGUUUUUCUACCAGUUUCCAGCAUCAUUUUCUCCACCAACAGUGGCCAUCACGGAAUGUUCUUUCUCUAUCUUAACCUUUCUCACAGGGAGUAGGAAAUAAAGGACACAUAGCUCAUAACUUUUAUUUUUGCAAACUGUGAUGAUUUUAUAACAAAAGGAAAUAAAACAUGAACUAUCAACAAUUCCCUGUACAACUACUGUGAGAUAAAAUUAAAAGAAUACACCUCCAAAAUCGCAGAAGCACUUCCCAUUGCUACAUAACAUCUAUGACCAUGUUUGCAGUGUGUACUUGGUAAGGAAGAGAAUAUAUCUCUAGGUAAAUGGUUCUUUGUGUGUGUGUGUGUGUGUGUGUGUGUGUGUGUGUGUGUGGUACGUGGGCCUCUCACUGCUGUGGCCUCUCCCGUUGCGGAGCACAGGCUCCGGACGCGCAGGCUCAGCGGCCAUGGCUCACGGGCCCAGCCGCUCCGUGGCAUGUGGGAUCUUCCCGGACCGGGGCACGAACCCAUGUCCCCUGCAACGGCAGGCGGACUCUCAACCACUGCGCCACCAGGGAAGCCCGUGUUUUUCAAAAAGGAGGCCAGAAACUUCUAUGUCCUCCUCCAGAGCCAUGAGCACCACACAUGCAGCCCACCUGGGCUCCCGAAAGCCCAACCUCAGAAGGCCAACCCAGGUCACACUCAAAUCCUGCCAUGAGCAAAUUCCUUCCAGCAAAUGGGAGCCUUUCCGUCACUGAACUUCUAUGACCAGAUAAUGAAGAACUAAAUCUCAGUCCCAAACUCUGUUGUAGAAGAAUAGUUUUAGACAUAACGAGGUCCCCGUAUGUGUAGAACUUUAAGAAGCUGCAAUAAUGUUCUGUUUCUUGAUCUGGGUGGUGGUUACAUGAGUGUGUUCAGUUUGUGAUAAUUCGUCAAGCUGUACACUUAGAAUUGUGCAUUUUUCUUUGUGUAACUUAGACUUUUAUUUCUUUUAAGUUAUUAAAAACCUUUUUCCAUCCUACUUUGUCACUGCUUGCUUUAUUCAUAUGAUCCUUGGUCUCUCACAAGAUAAUAGAGAAGGCCUCACGAGAGCCUCGCAGAGUGCCAGGCUUCUAUUAAGAGCUUCAUAUUUGCCUAUUGACUUCACCAAAAUCUGGAGAUCCAGGAGAUAUCAGAGGGAAGAGGCAGUGCACAAGGCAGUAGGAUGGUUUUCCAAACUCCUUCAGUAUCAGGGAAACAAAAGCUUCCUGACCCCAAAGUCACAAGUUAAUAAAACAGCCAGGGCAAUCCAUACAGGCUCAGAGACAGAGGAAAGUCAGCUGUGCUGAUGAGAAGCCACACCCUGGGAAAGUAACAAUUUUGAUUAUGAAAAAGAUACACACAGACACAGAGAGACACACACACACCCCACCAAAAGCACAAUAUCAGUAGAGCCCAACUCCAGCCUUCCCACAAGAAAAAUUAACAUGAUGGGGUGAAAGUUAGUGCCUGUAUUGACAAGUGGCUUAAACCAGAAGUGACAAGCUGAACACUGUGAGUCCAUGACGGCUGAUUCUCAAGGAAAGUCAAAGUGUGAGCGAGAGUCCCUUGGUCUUGAAAAUGCUGAUGACUCCCAUUUACUCCAAGAAACACAAGGGUUGGUCCCAAAGCAGAAAGGCUGGAAGCAAAGGACCUUCAAAGCGGUAAGAUGGGAGCCCGCAGAACCACUGGUAGGAGGGUGUCAGUCUGAGCCUCCAGCUGGAGACCUUUGGACUCUGAGACGCUAAGCCUCAUGCACUGCGAGGUGGGUGGUGAGGUCUUUUCCAUUUCGGCUGUUUCUCCGGGUGCCGGAGGGCAGAGUCCCAUCUGGCAGGGCUGGGCUGUCGUACCAAACAAGAAGUCACCCCCCCCAGGAGUCUCGCCCACGCUCUGCCCUUGUCCCUCUGUGCCUGGGUGGAGAGGGAGGCAGGCGAUGGAAGGAAGCAGGGGGAGGAUUUGAUGCCAGGGAGGUGACUAAGGUCUGAUGCAAACACUAUGCGUGCGUGGGACUCGUGAGACAGACACGGAGCAAACGGGUGUUCUGGUCACGGGGCAGGGGAGCCCGACGGCCCCCAAAGCUCAUUAGGUAAAAUGUGCAUUCAAUGUCUAGGUCAGUCUAAGGUGGAAGGGGAACCAAGAUGC